Non-coding RNA from Schizosaccharomyces pombe (fission yeast), 1499 nucleotides. NCBI's taxonomy places the organism in Eukaryota, Fungi, Ascomycota, Schizosaccharomycetes, Schizosaccharomycetales, Schizosaccharomycetaceae. The record is from the annotation of a GenBank genome assembly.
UAGAUGAUCAUUUUAGUUUUCGUUUAUAUAGUGUUUUUUUUUCAAUCAUCUUAAUUUUUUUUGGAAUGUGUGCAUCUGCUGUAAAACACAGAAAUUUGUCUUUGACCUAGUACAUAUUUUUAUGUGUAGCCAAAAUUUUUGGAUACCUUUGCUCUUUAUCAGUCACUUUACUACUACUAACACUGGAAAAUGUUCUAUUCCUCAGCAUCUUACCUACUAGUAUUUAUAAUAUUCAUCAACGUAGAAUGAAAAUAACAAUAUUAUUAACAUAAUUCAUCUACAUUACAAUAGUAAAAUAUUGAACCAGAAAAGCCAAAAAAAAAAAAGCAUAUAGAAAAGGAAAUCAUUUGUACAGAAAAGUCAUGAACGAAAAACAUGUCAUAAAUUAAGGACCGUAUAGGCUUUAUGCAUUUAAGUAAAAAAAAAAAAAAAAAGAACAGCAUUAAAGUGGUGAAACAAAUUAAACAACAAGGGAAAUCAAAGCCAUCGGAAGAAUCAUACUUACAAUCGUAGAAGCGGAAGCCAGUACGCACAAAACCUGAAAAUUCGGAAUCUUUUUAUAACAAUCCUGUAUCCAAAGAUGAAAAAUCAAUUCGUGAAGAUGAUAACGAAUGAAUAGAACGAGAUAAAGGGCGCCGACGGCUAUUGCCAGAUGCAGUUACUCGGGGUCGUGUGAGUUUAUGAGAUAAGGGUCGAGGGAUGGAUUUACCAGAUGCCAGCUUGGUGCGAUAAACGGUACUGAGUCGUGUUCUGGAAGAGGAUUGUUUGCUGACAGAAGGCUUUUCGAGAACCUUUCUUUGUUGAUCAGAAGCUUUCAAGGUAGCGGGUGUUGUCAGGUUAGUAUCCUUUUCUGUUAACGGGGAGUCACCGUCUACGCUGAGCAGAGGAAAUUGUAUAGGAUCAUCAUCACUGAACUCCUUGUAAACAUGGAAAUCUGAUGCAGGUGUAUUACGAAUAGUUACUGAGGUAGCCUUAUUCUGCAUGCUAGGCCAAGGAUCGAGCGUUUCACAAUCAAUUGCAACGUCGUCAAACCCCAGGGAUUGAAUGGGGUCCAAAUGAACAGGAGGAGGCAUAUAUUCGAUAUCUUCUUCAAGUUCAUUUGGUAAAGGAGUGUCUGUUAAAGAGGAACGACGAGGGCUAGCCGAAAGUCGCUUCGACCGCUCUUGUACGGCUGAUCGGGAAAUUCCUUGUGAGUUUGGCUCCAAAAUAGUAGGGGAAUCCAUCGAAAUAUCCAUAGGAGACAUUUUCUUUGUACUGGGAGCAGAAAUAAAUUUGGAAAUGUUAGUACUCUUACCUCCCAGUACCGUUCUAGGAACCGUUACAGAAGAAGGUGCAUUCGACUGCUUUGUAGACCCCAAUGGUGCUCUUUUGGAGCCCGCUCCUUUUGUACCAUUUCUGUUUGAUAUGGGAGUUACAGGAAAAGCGUUUUCUUUUCCAUAUGAAAACAUGGUUCUUGGCAACAUCGUUGUCUAUAGUCCAAGGCUGGUUUAUUAUUUCAC